GGUUGAUCCUGCCAGUAACAUAUGCUUGUCUCAAAGAUUAAGCCAUGCACGUGUGCGAAAAACCAACUAUUUUCCGCAAUUCUGCGUACAGCUCAUUAAAUCAGUUAUAAUUUCUGUGAGGAUCAUGUUUGAUUACUUUAUACGGAUAACCGUAGUAAUUCUAGAGCUAAUACGUGCGUUUGGGUUUGUAGCAAUACAAACUGUGCUGAUUAGAUUCUGUGUGACGUUGUAGCACUAUUUCUGUGAGACGACUCAUAAUCAUC
RNAcentral lists this ribosomal RNA (263 nucleotides) under uncultured eukaryote. Its description in RNAcentral is "partial 18S ribosomal RNA". It matches the Rfam family "Eukaryotic small subunit ribosomal RNA", at positions 6 to 261 of the family's 1831-position model. The record is from RNAcentral.